AUCGCUUCUUGGCCUUUUGGCUAAGAUCAAGUGUAGUAUCUGUUAUUAUCAGUUUAAUAUCUGGUAUGUCCUCUAGCCGAGGACAAUAUAUUAUAUGGAUUUUUGGAGCAGAGCUGGAGGAACCGUUUAUGUAUUUCUCUACCAUGAAAAGUAUAAGGUGGUUGAGCUCUU
Molecule: small nuclear RNA, 171 nt
Filed under: Moschus moschiferus (Siberian musk deer)
Lineage: Eukaryota; Metazoa; Chordata; Mammalia; Artiodactyla; Moschidae
Description: U2 spliceosomal RNA (ENSMMSG00000018072.1)
Rfam family: U2 spliceosomal RNA
About the family: U2 is a small nuclear RNA (snRNA) component of the spliceosome (involved in pre-mRNA splicing). Complementary binding between U2 snRNA (in an area lying towards the 5' end but 3' to hairpin I) and the branchpoint sequence (BPS) of the intron results the bulging out of an unpaired adenosine, on the BPS, which initiates a nucleophilic attack at the intronic 5' splice site, thus starting the first of two transesterification reactions that mediate splicing.
Source: Rfam by way of RNAcentral